GUCUAUGGCAGUGCCUCCCUGAACAAGCCGGAUCCCGUCUGAUCUCGGAAGCUAAGCAGGGUCGGGCCUGGUUAUUACUUGGAUGAGAGACCACCUAGGAAGACCAGAUGCUAUAGGUG
RNAcentral lists this ribosomal RNA (119 nucleotides) under Pteropus alecto (black flying fox). The record is from RNAcentral. Lineage: Eukaryota; Metazoa; Chordata; Mammalia; Chiroptera; Pteropodidae.